This is a long non-coding RNA of Heterocephalus glaber (naked mole-rat), 408 nucleotides long. NCBI's taxonomy places the organism in Eukaryota, Metazoa, Chordata, Mammalia, Rodentia, Bathyergidae. The record is from Ensembl.
CUGAUCCUUCCUUAGAUUUUGUAAGCCUGCACUUCCUUGUACCACAUGUGGAACACAUGGAGCAGCCUCAGCUUUCUGAGUCGGUACUUGGGGAGCAACAUCACCAGAUGUCGGAUGGCAAUAAAACUGUAUAGACCAUGGUUAUUUCUGCACAUGAUGAAUUGAGGAUCUCCACAGAGCACUUUGGAUGGAGAGAUUAAUUUAUAGGCCUAGAAACCAGCACACAAAUCCGCCAACCACCUGCAGCCUGGAAUAGGAACUGGAAAGUGGCUCGUUAGCAUCUUCAAGGAUGUAUGGAAGGUGGAGCCCUUGUUUUCAUCUCUGAAGGGGCUGUGGCCUUUGGAAUGAUUUGCACUCAUCAGAAAGGCACAAGAGCACUGACAUGGCUCAGAAGAAAUGAGGAAACCC